CGGGGGAUAACACCUGGAAACAGAUGCUAAUACCGCAUAACAACUUGGACCGCAUGGUCCGAGCUUGAAAGAUGGCUUCGGCUAUCACUUUUGGAUGGUCCCGCGGCGUAUUAGCUAGAUGGUGGGGUAACGGCUCACCAUGGCAAUGAUACGUAGCCGACCUGAGAGGGUAAUCGGCCACAUUGGGACUGAGACACGGCCCAAACUCCUACGGGAGGCAGCAGUAGGGAAUCUUCCACAAUGGACGAAAGUCUGAUGGAGCAACGCCGCGUGAGUGAAGAAGGGUUUCGGCUCGUAAAACUCUGUUGUUAAAGAAGAACAUAUCUGAGAGUAACUGUUCAGGUAUUGACGGUAUUUAACCAGAAAGCCACGGCUAACUACGUGCCAGCAGCCGCGGUAAUACGUAGGUGGCAAGCGUUGUCCGGAUUUAUUGGGCGUAAAGCGAGCGCAGGCGGUUUUUUAAGUCUGAUGUGAAAGCCUUCGGCUCAACCGAAGAAGUGCAUCGGAAACUGGGAAACUUGAGUGCAGAAGAGGACAGUGGAACUCCAUGUGUAGCGGUGAAAUGCGUAGAUAUAUGGAAGAACACCAGUGGCGAAGGCGGCUGUCUGGUCUGUAACUGACGCUGAGGCUCGAAAGUAUGGGUAGCAAACAGGAUUAGAUACCCUGGUAGUCCAUACCGUAAACGAUGAAUGCUAAGUGUUGGAGGGUUUCCGCCCUUCAGUGCUGCAGCUAACGCAUUAAGCAUUCCGCCUGGGGAGUACGGCCGCAAGGCUGAAACUCAAAGGAAUUGACGGGGGCCCGCACAAGCGGUGGAGCAUGUGGUUUAAUUCGAAGCUACGCGAAGAACCUUACCAGGUCUUGACAUACUAUGCAAAUCUAAGAGAUUAGACGUUCCCUUCGGGGACAUGGAUACAGGUGGUGCAUGGUUGUCGUCAGCUCGUGUCGUGAGAUGUUGGGUUAAGUCCCGCAACGAGCGCAACCCUUAUUAUCAGUUGCCAGCAUUAAGUUGGGCACUCUGGUGAGACUGCCGGUGACAAACCGGAGGAAGGUGGGGAUGACGUCAAAUCAUCAUGCCCCUUAUGACCUGGGCUACACACGUGCUACAAUGGAUGGUACAACGAGUUGCGAACUCGCGAGAGUAAGCUAAUCUCUUAAAGCCAUUCUCAGUUCGGAUUGUAGGCUGCAACUCGCCUACAUGAAGUCGGAAUCGCUAGUAAUCGCGGAUCAGCAUGCCGCGGUGAAUACGUUCCCGGGCCUUGUACACACCGCCCGC
Molecule: ribosomal RNA, 1273 nt
Filed under: Lactiplantibacillus plantarum
Lineage: Bacteria; Bacillati; Bacillota; Bacilli; Lactobacillales; Lactobacillaceae
Description: bacterial SSU rRNA
Rfam family: Bacterial small subunit ribosomal RNA
Source: RNAcentral